Molecule: ribosomal RNA, 256 nt
Filed under: uncultured bacterium
Lineage: Bacteria
Description: partial small subunit ribosomal RNA
Rfam family: Bacterial small subunit ribosomal RNA
Source: RNAcentral
AGGACGAACGCUGGCGGCGUGCUUAACACAUGCAAGUCGAGCGGAAAGGCCCUUCGGGGUACGUCGAGCGGCGAACGGGUGAGUAACACGUGAGCAACCUGCCCCUGGCUCUGGGAUAGCCUCCGGAAACGGGGAUUAAUACCGGAUAUUCACUGCUCCCUGCAUGGGGGGUGGUGGAAAGUUUUUCGGCUAGGGUGGGGCUCGCGGCCUAUCAGCUUGUUGGGGGGUGACGGCCCACCAAGGCGACGACGGGUAG